Molecule: ribosomal RNA, 495 nt
Filed under: uncultured bacterium
Lineage: Bacteria
Description: partial 16S ribosomal RNA
Rfam family: Bacterial small subunit ribosomal RNA
Source: RNAcentral
GACGAACGCUGGCGGCGUGCCUAAUACAUGCAAGUAGAACGCUGAAGGAGGAGCUUGCUUCUCUGGAUGAGUUGCGAACGGGUGAGUAACGCGUAGGUAACCUGCCUGGUAGCGGGGGAUAACUAUUGGAAACGAUAGCUAAUACCUCAUAAGAGUAGAUGUUGCAUGACAUUUGCUUAAAAGGUGCAAUUGCAUCACUACCAGAUGGACCUGCGUUGUAUUAGCUAGUUGGUGGGGUAACGGCUCACCAAGGCGACGAUACAUAGCCGACCUGAGAGGGUGAUAGGCCACACUGGGACUGAGACACGGCCCAGACUCCUACGGGAGGCAGCAGUAGGGAAUCUUCGGCAAUGGACGGAAGUCUGACCGAGCAACGCCGCGUGAGUGAAGAAGGUUUUCGGAUCGUAAAGCUCUGUUGUAAGAGAAGAACGAGUGUGAGAGUGGAAAGUUCACACUGUGACGGUAUCUUACCAGAAAGGGACGGCUAACUACGUG